This 503-nucleotide ribosomal RNA is filed under the name uncultured bacterium. RNAcentral's name for it is "partial 16S ribosomal RNA". It matches the Rfam family "Bacterial small subunit ribosomal RNA", at positions 30 to 523 of the family's 1533-position model. The record is from RNAcentral.
AUUGAACGCUGGCGGCAGGCUUAACACAUGCAAGUCGAGCGGGGUGAUGGUGCUUGCACUAUCACUUAGCGGCGGACGGGUGAGUAAUGCUUAGGAAUCUGCCUAUUAGUGGGGGACAACAUCUCGAAAGGGAUGCUAAUACCGCAUACGUCCUACGGGAGAAAGCAGGGGAUCACUUGUGACCUUGCGCUAAUAGAUGAGCCUACGUCGGAUUAGCUAGUUGGUGGGGUAAAGGCCUACCAAGGCGACGAUCUGUAGCGGGUCUGAGAGGAUGAUCCGCCACACUGGGACUGAGACACGGCCCAGACUCCUACGGGAGGCAGCAGUGGGGAAUAUUGGACAAUGGGGGGAACCCUGAUCCAGCCAUGCCGCGUGUGUGAAGAGGGCCUCAUGGUUGUAAAGCACUUUAAGCGAGGAGGAGGCUCUUUUGGUUAAUACCCAAGAUGAGUGGACGUUACUCGCAGAAUAAGCACCGGCUAACUCUGUGCCAGCCGCCGCCGUAA